AUACGUAGGUGGCGCGCGUUGUCCGGAAUUACUGGGCGUAAAGGAUGCGUAGGUGGAUAUUUAAGUGGGAUGUGAAAUCCCCGGGCUCAACCCGGGAACUGCAUUCCAAACUGGGUAUCUAGAGUGCAGGAGAGGAAAGCGGAAUUCCUAGUGUAGCGGUGAAAUGCGUAGAUAUUAGGAGGAACACCAGUGGCGAAGGCGGCUUUCUGGACUGUAACUGACACUGAGGCAUGAAAGCGUGGGUAGCAAACAGGAUUAGAUACCCUGGUAGUCCACGCCGUAAACGAUGGGUACUAGGUGUAGGAGGUAUCGACCCCUUCUGUGCCGUCGUUAACACAAUAAGUACCCCGCCUGGGGAGUACGGUCGCAAGACUAAAACUCAAAUGAAUUGACGGGG
This 397-nucleotide ribosomal RNA is filed under the name uncultured bacterium. RNAcentral describes it as "partial 16S ribosomal RNA". It matches the Rfam family "Bacterial small subunit ribosomal RNA", at positions 523 to 918 of the family's 1533-position model. The record is from RNAcentral.